Molecule: ribosomal RNA, 429 nt
Filed under: Bacteroidota bacterium
Lineage: Bacteria; Pseudomonadati; Bacteroidota
Description: Bacteroidetes bacterium partial 16S ribosomal RNA
Rfam family: Bacterial small subunit ribosomal RNA
Source: RNAcentral
UAGGGAAUCUUCGGCAAUGGGGGGAACCCUGACCGAGCAACGCCGCGUGAGUGAAGAAGGUUUUCGGAUCGUAAAGCUCUGUUGUUAAGGAAGAACGAGUGUGAGAAUGGAAAGUUCAUGCUGUGACGGUACUUAACCAGAAAGGGACGGCUAACUACGUGCCAGCAGCCGCGGUAAUACGUAGGUCCCGAGCGUUGUCCGGAUUUAUUGGGCGUAAAGCGAGCGAAGGCGGUUAGAAAAGUCUGAAGUGAAAGGCAGGGGCUCAAACGUUGUAGGCUUUGGAAACUGUUUAACUUGAGUGCAGAAGGGGAGUGUGGAAUUCCAUGUGUAGCGGUGAAAUGCGUAGAUAUAUGGAGGAACACCGGUGGCGAAAGCGGCUCUCUGGUCUGUAACUGACGCUGAGGCUCGAAAGCGUGGGGAGCGAACAGG